GAUGAACGCUGGCGGCGUGCCUAACACAUGCAAGUCGAACGAGAUGCGUAUUGGAAAGCUUCGGCCGGAAGAUGCGUUAUCUAGUGGCGGACGGGUGAGUAACACGUGGGUAACUUGCCUUAUGGAGGGGGAUAACAGAGAGAAAUCACUGCUAAUACCGCAUAAGCACACAUUGCCGCAUGGUAGAGUGUGAAAAGAUUUAUCGCCAUAAGAUGGACCCGCGUCUGAUUAGCCAGUUGGCAGGGUAAAAGCCUACCAAAGCAACGAUCAGUAGCCGAUCUGAGAGGAUGACCGGCCUCAUUGGGACUGAGACACGGCCCAAACUCCUACGGGAGGCAGCAGUGGGGAAUAUUGCACAAUGGGGGAAACCCUGAUGCAGCGACGCCGCGUGAGUGAAGAAGUAUUUCGGUAUGUAAAGCUCUAUCAGCAGGGAAGAUAAUGACAG
This 445-nucleotide ribosomal RNA is filed under the name Oribacterium sp. oral taxon 108. RNAcentral describes it as "bacterial SSU rRNA". It matches the Rfam family "Bacterial small subunit ribosomal RNA", at positions 28 to 457 of the family's 1533-position model. The record is from RNAcentral. Lineage: Bacteria; Bacillati; Bacillota; Clostridia; Lachnospirales; Lachnospiraceae.